AACGCACAUUGCGCCCCGUGGCAUUCCGCGGGGCAUGCCUGUUCGAGCGUCAUUACACCACUCAAGCCUCGCUUGGUAUUGGGCGACGCGGUACGCCGCGCGCCUCAAAUCUUCCGGCUGGUUCGAAUCGUCCCUCAGCGUUGUGGAAACUAUUCGCUAAAGGUGCGCGUUUCGGUCACGCCGUUAAACAAACCAAUUCAUUAAAGGUUGACCUCGGAUCAGGUAGGGAUACCCGCUGAACUUAA
This 245-nucleotide unclassified non-coding RNA is filed under the name uncultured Rachicladosporium. RNAcentral's name for it is "sequence contains ITS2". The record is from RNAcentral. Lineage: Eukaryota; Fungi; Ascomycota; Dothideomycetes; Capnodiales.